UAAGCAUAUCAAUAAGCGGAGGAAAAGAAACCAACCGGGAUUGCCUUAGUAACGGCGAGUGAAGCGGCAAAAGCUCAAAUUUGAAAUCUGGCGUCUUCGACGUCCGAGUUGUAAUUUGAAGAAGGUAACUUUGUAGCUGGUCCUUGUCUAUGUUCCUUGGAACAGGACGUCAUAGAGGGUGAGAAUCCCGUGUGGCGAGGAUCCCAGUUAUUUGUAAAGUGCUUUCGACGAGUCGAGUUGUUUGGGAAUGCAGCUCUAAGUGGGUGGUAAAUUCCAUCUAAAGCUAAAUAUUGGCGAGAGACCGAUAGCGAACAAGUACAGUGAUGGAAAGAUGAAAAGAACUUUGAAAAGAGAGUGAAAAAGUACGUGAAAUUGUUGAAAGGGAAGGGCAUUUGAUCAGACAUGGCGUUUGCUUCGGCUUUCGCUGGGCCAGCAUCAGUUUUAGCGGUUGGAUAAAUCCUCGGGAAUGUGGCUCUGCUUCGGUAGAGUGUUAUAGCCCGUGGGAAUACAGCCAGCUGGGACUGAGGAUUGCGACUUUUGUCAAGGAUGCUGGCGUAAUGGUUAAAUGCCGCCCGUCUUGAAACACGGACCAAGGAGUCUAACGUCUAUGCGAGUGUUUGGGUGUAAAACCCGUACGCGUAAUGAAAGUGAACGUAGGUGAGGGCCCGCAAGGGUGCAUCAUCGACCGAUCCUGAUGUCUUCGGAUGGAUUUGAGUAAGAGCAUAGCUGUUGGGACCCGAAAGAUGGUGAACUAUGCCUGAAUAGGGUGAAGCCAGAGGAAACUCUGGUGGAGGCUCGUAGCGGUUCUGACGUGCAAAUCGAUCGUCGAAUUUGGGUAUAGGGGCGAAAGACUAAUCGAACCAUCUAGUAGCUGGUUCCUGCCGA
Molecule: ribosomal RNA, 885 nt
Filed under: Kluyveromyces lactis
Lineage: Eukaryota; Fungi; Ascomycota; Saccharomycetes; Saccharomycetales; Saccharomycetaceae
Description: LSU rRNA
Rfam family: Eukaryotic large subunit ribosomal RNA
Source: RNAcentral